ACUUUGGAAUUUUGCACAGAGAAAUCCAUUAAUUUACCAUUUGUAACAAAUUACGGCAACAAAACGUAUUAUUUGCAUACUAACAAUGAAGUAAAUUGGCAUAAAGCGUACAUAAGUUGCAAAACAUACAAUAUGGAGUUAAUAAGUAUUGAUACUGAUAAAGAAUUCGAUUAUAUUCGUAGUUUUCUUUUAAAUUUCUCAGUUGAAUCGGACAAUAUAUCUGUGUGGACUUCUGGAAUAUCUUUAGAAACCGAAACAGAUUUUUUUUGGAUGAGCAAUGGCCGUGGUGUUAUAUCUAAUCGCUGGCAUUCGGUUUCACGAAUUCCCAAUUUAGAAAGCUGCAUACGUUUCUGGGGUCAUUUAGAUACAUAUUUACUUGACGAUAUGUAUUGCAAUACUACAUUGUACUAUAUGUGUCAGCAUACCAAAAAUGUUUGUUAGAUGUCUAUAUAAAGCAUUUAAAAUUUUAUUCACAAUA
This is a long non-coding RNA of Nicrophorus vespilloides, 478 nucleotides long. RefSeq lists it as uncharacterized. The record is from RefSeq and is a predicted model, not a curated record. The transcript has 3 exons. NCBI's taxonomy places the organism in Eukaryota, Metazoa, Arthropoda, Insecta, Coleoptera, Silphidae.